UACGGAGGGAGCUAGCGUUGUUCGGAAUUACUGGGCGUAAAGCGUACGUAGGCGGUUACUCAAGUCAGAGGUGAAAGCCCGGGGCUCAACUUCAGAACUGCCUUCGAUACUGGGGACCUUGAGUUCGGGAGAGGUGAGUGGAACUGCGAGUGUAGAGGUGAAAUUCGUAGAUAUUCGCAAGAACACCAGUGGCGAAGGCGGCUCACUGGCCCGAUACUGACGCUGAGGUGCGAAAGCGUGGGGAGCAAACAGG
RNAcentral lists this ribosomal RNA (253 nucleotides) under uncultured bacterium. RNAcentral's name for it is "partial 16S ribosomal RNA". It matches the Rfam family "Bacterial small subunit ribosomal RNA", at positions 524 to 776 of the family's 1533-position model. The record is from RNAcentral.